Long non-coding RNA from Triticum dicoccoides, 1713 nucleotides. RefSeq lists it as uncharacterized. The transcript is spliced from 8 exons. The record is from RefSeq and is a predicted model, not a curated record. Lineage: Eukaryota; Viridiplantae; Streptophyta; Magnoliopsida; Poales; Poaceae.
UAGCCUCCGCCGCUGGUGUACCCCAAAUCCCUCGCCGCCGGCUGCAGUUCGUCAAAUCCUAGCCUCCCCGAACCUCUCACCCGCUCCUGCGCUCUAUUCCUCGGCUCGCCAACCACUGAACCGCAGCCUUAACAUCGAACGUCGCUGUCCUCGUCUCAGACGCCGCCGCCGCCGUCCUCGUCCCAGCCGUGGUCGUCGCCGUCCAAGUCACAGCCGCCACCGUCUCCGUCCAAGUCCCAGCCGUCGCCGUCACCGUCCUCGUCCAAGCCACCGCCAUGGCCGUCCUCGUCCCAGUCGCCUUCGUCACCGUCCCGCCACCGCAGCUCCAUCGUCCUCCAACCGCCGUCUGUUCCCCAUCAAGUCAUCUCGUCCUCUGCCUAGUGUAGGAAGUGGUGAGGCUCGCUUGGAUCCAGCACAGGGCGUUUCCACUCUACUGGUUGGCUAUUAACUCAGCUUAGAUCUUGGAUCUGCUAGUGGACUUUGGGAGUUUGUUAGACAGCUUGGUGACUCCACACUUUUUCACUAUUUCAGCAAGCCUUUGAACUUGAAUAUGCCCAAUACUUGGAAUGCAGAAUAACAUGGUUUAAGGAACAUGCAUGGCCUCAUCUUUGUGCUUAUUGGUGCUCAAAGACGUUCAAGUCCUUAAGGAAGGGAGGGCAGGAAUCCCGAUUCAAGAGUGAAGGUGUUGCUCAAAAUCGGGGAGGUUCGCUUCCAUUUGUGGAGGCUCGACAAAUUCUGGCUGAGAAAUAUGGACCUGAGAAGGCUACCACGCUGAAUACAUAUGCUGCAAUGAAAUCUGGACUCAAGAAUUGGGAUGGCAGUGGUAGCACCAGCACGACCCUCAGCGGGAAGGCAAAAAAUGCUUUGAUGAUUACUCUGAUUUGGCUAGAGCCGCACAUCCUGAUGAUUGGGAGCAGCGAGAGUUGGAUGGGCAAAUAUUAUAUGAAUCAUCAGGUGGCAUUCCCCAUGGGCGACUAGCAAUAGCAGAUGGGGCGAUUAAGAAGGCUGAUGUUAUCUCAACAGCUAGAGAAAAGAAAUUUAGGCCGUCAACUUCAGCAGCACAUCGACGAAUUGUUCAAGAAAAUGAAGAGCUGAAGCGACAUAAUGAGAACCUGCAACGACAUAAUGAGAACCUGCAACAUAAAGUGGAUAUGCAUGAACGGAUCCUAGUGGCCCUUUUUAAGGAGAUGGGAAAAGAACUACCAACGGAGCUACACCAAGGAGCGAGUUCCCAACCACAUGGGACACCUAAUUCAUCUCAUAUGAGACCCCAAGUCGCCGAUGACAACACUGGUGAUGAUGAUCUGGGUGCAAAUGGUGGUGCUGACAACUCCAGUGGGAAUACCAGUGACAACAACGUUAGUGCCGGUGGUGGCGACACUAGUUCCAACAUUCGUGAAACUCAAACCUAGAAUCAUAGAUGGUGGUUGUAACCUUGGUAGUGCCUUUUGUUGACUUGGAGCCAGACUUUAGAACUAAUGUUGGUGUUGGCAACAAAGCAGCAUUUUGCUAGUUGCAAGACUUUAGAACUAAAGCUGGUGUUUGCAACAAGGUAGCAUUUUGGUAGUUGCAAGACUUUAGAUGAACUGUGAUGUACUUUCCUUGUAAUUCUUUGGGUAUGCAAAACUGAUGGUUAUCCUUGUAAGCUGAGAACUGUUAUGUAGAUUGUUUCUGAUGCUUUGGAUGUGCAAAAUUGAUGGAUGUAUCUAAUGA